UUUAUAUAUAUGUUUGUUAAUUGAUAUGGGUUACUAACNUGUUUAGUAUUGCCUAUACAUUCNUGCAUAUUUAGUUGUAAAAUGUUGUCGGCGUGCACUUCUCCCCUAGUAGAACGUCGCGACCCGUUGAGUGUUGGUUUACGGCCCAGGUUGGAAGAUUUCAGUAAAUUUUAUUUAUUGAAAACACUUGGUGUGUUUGUAUUUUCUAACUAACACUCGUCGGUAUUCGUAUGGUAUUGAGCCGCAUAAUAUAUAUAUUUGCGUCCAUAUCUAUCGCAAGCGCGGUUAAUUACUGAUAGUGCGGACUUAGUGCCGUCAUUAGUAUUAAUCAGCUGUUGGUUGUAUAGAAUUCUAGGACUGGUUCAUUAAAAAUAAUAAAAUACCGGUCAGCGAUGCUACUGCUUUGGGUACUUUCAGGACCCGUCUUGAAACACGGACCAAGGAGUCUAACAUGUACGCGAGUCAUUGGGAUUUUUAUUAAAUUAAACCUAAAGGCGUAAUGAAAGUAAAGAUCGUCCUUGCCCGAUUAAGGGAGGAUGGACUGUGUAUAUUAUUAUAAUUUUAUUAUAAUAAAAUAUAGUCUCGCACUCUCGGGGCGUCUCA
This 603-nucleotide ribosomal RNA is filed under the name Rhammura sp. NL825. RNAcentral describes it as "partial 28S ribosomal RNA". Lineage: Eukaryota; Metazoa; Arthropoda; Insecta; Hymenoptera; Braconidae. The record is from RNAcentral.